This 774-nucleotide ribosomal RNA is filed under the name uncultured Neocallimastigales. RNAcentral describes it as "partial large subunit ribosomal RNA". It matches the Rfam family "Eukaryotic large subunit ribosomal RNA", at positions 22 to 639 of the family's 3401-position model. Lineage: Eukaryota; Fungi; Neocallimastigomycota; Neocallimastigomycetes; Neocallimastigales. The record is from RNAcentral.
UAGAUGCGAGAGUAGAGCAUAUCAAUAAGCGGAGGAAAAGAAACUAACUAGGAUUCCCUCAGUAACGGCGAGUGAAGCGGGAAGAGCUCAAAUUUGAAAUCUUCAAGGUUCCACCUUGACGAAUUGUAGUUUAAAGAAGUGUUUUCUGUUGGAGUUUUGGUAAAAGUUCUUUGGAAUAGGACAUCAUAGAGGGUGAGAAUCCCGUAUUUGACCAUUAUUUCCAACUUUGUGAUACACUUUCAAAGAGUCGGAUUGUUUGGGAAUGCAGUCCAAAAUGGGUGGUAAAUUUCAUCUAAAGCUAAAUAUUGGCGAGAGACCGAUAGCGAACAAGUACCGUGAGGGAAAGAUGAAAAGAACUUUGAAAAGAGAGUUAAACAGUACGUGAAAUUGUCAAAAGGGAAGCGUUUGACACCAGUGUUGUUUUUCCGAAAAUCAAUUACGAAUGUUUUGUUUUUGAGAAGUUAUGACUUCAUCGGCUUGCUCCUUUCUUUACGAAACUUUCUUAAUGCACUUUUCGGUUAACAAGUCAACAUCAAUUUCUUUUGUUGUAAAAGGGUAUGAGGAAGGUGGCUUUCUUUUCGGAGAAAGUGUUUAUAGCCUUUGACUUCUGCAAUCGGAGAGAUUGAGGUCUGCAGCGUAGAUCCUUCGGGGUUAGAUACAUUUGUGCUAAGUUAUAGUUUUUCAUAGACAACAUGUUGACUAUGAUUAAUCAUGUAGCUUACUCGCUUAUGCUAUUUUACCUACGCUUAGGAUGUUGACGCGCGUGUGUGCGUG